AAAAUAUACCAUAUUUUUAGUCCCUAAUAUUAGUCUUAUAAUCGUUUUCUAUUAGUUAUUUUAUGAAAUUAGUCACUUAAAUAUUUUUAGUUCUUAUUUUAUGUUAGUAUAGUAUUUUAUACCUAUUUUAUAAUAAGUGACAAUUAAUAUUAUAUUGUGUAUUUUUGGUAGGAAGUCAAAGGGAAAUAAUAAGGUGGACUUGAAUUGGAGAAUGCAAAAUAGCUUCAAGAAACCCACUUGUGUCACCACUAAAGAUCACGUGCAACCAAAUGAAAAGAAAGCAAGAAAAAGAAAAAAAAAAGAAAAAAAAAAGAUAAGAAGGAAGGAAGGAAGUGGCAUGAAAAACAAUGAACUAAUCCAAACCCACAAAUAUUCAAGAUUCAUCUUCAUCAAUACUGAUAAUUUCUAUCCGAAAUUCAAGGCAAUAUAAAGGAAGAUGAAUCUCUAUCUUUUUUCACAAAUUUAUCUCUUCAAUCCCAGAAAAUUUAGAUCGUUCUUGAUCUAUAAAAAUCCCCAAUUAUUUCUGUAAAAGACACAACUUAGCCAACAAUUAUACAAAGAACGAGAUCGUUCAAGUGAGUUCGUAAUUGGGCAAUUGGUGAAGAGAAGAUAGCCAUUGGAGUGCAGCUUAGUCUCGCAUCAAAGGUAGUACGAGAACGAAGGUGAAUCGCGGGGUCGAAGCCAAGUUUAUUCGGGUGUUCUUGGGAGUGCAUGUACGCGUACGAUAAAGAAGCAAGACUUCAGCGCAUAAGAGCGUACAUAGACUUGAUAAACGGAGCGAAACCAGAGGAGCUUCUUCAUAUUUUCAGUGCUGAACCAGCACUUGAAUUAGAAGAUCCAUUGCCGAUUAAAUAUAACAACAUGGCAGAACAGACAUUGAAAGAACUGGGAGCCCCUAAAACAGGAGAAGAUCCUCUCUGCAUUGUCUUUCCGGAGCUAGAGAAUCCCCUCAAACUGAACUCAGGUUUCCUUAAUCUUCUCCCUAAAUUCUAUGGGAACGCAGGUGAGAAUUAGAGACAUUUAAAAGAGUUUAGAGUUGUAUGUUCUUCUAUGAAUCCAGAAGGAAUAGAACAGGAACAUAUUAGAUUGCAUGCUUUUCCUUUUUUCUUUGCAAGAUCCUGCUAAAGAGUGGUUAUAUGAGCAACUUCCAUCUAGUUCCAUUAAUUCUUGGGCAGAAUUGGAAAAAGUUUUUCUUGAAAGAUUCUUUCCUGCGAGUCGUAUAGGUUCUAUUUGGAAGGAAAUUUGUGGAAUUAGACAGAGUAAUAAUGAGUCUUUAUAUGAGUACUAGCAACGUUUUAAUAGGCUUUGUUCAUCUUGUCCACAACACAAAAUAAGUGAUCAAUUAUUAAUUCAAUACUUUUAUGAGGGUUUGUUACCUAAUGAUAGAGGUAUGAUAGAUGCAUCUAGUGGGGGUGCAUUAGUUGAUAAAACACCUACCGAAGCUAGAAAAUUAAUCUCUAAUAUGGCUCAGAAUACACAGCAGUUUAGCACUAGAAAUGAUGUUAAAAGAGUAAAUGAAAUUGAUAUAAGUGGUAUUCAUAAUCAAUUGCAAGAAAAUUCUCAACAAAUUGCUACUACUUUGACUACUCUUGUUUCUAAAAUUGCUAGUAAUGAGUCUAAAUCCAGAGUUUGUGGUGUUUGUUCUGAUUUUCUCAUGCUACUGAUGAAUGUCCUACUUUACAGAAUGAAGAUGCUAAUGCCUUAGGGGGUUUUCCUAGUCAACAAAAUAGGAAUUAUGAUCCUUUCUCACAAACUUAUAAUGAAGGUUGGAAAGACCACCCUAAUCUAAGGUAUGGAAAUAGACCACAAUUUCAACAGAUUAAUCAAUUUAAGCAACAUAGUCAACAAAACCCAUCACAUAAACCUGCUAGCCCUUCAUUAGAAGACUUGGUGAAACAGUUUGCAAACCAAAUAGGACAGGUUCAUGAUCAAGGUGUUGAAUAUCAAAAGAAAACUGACAUUCACCUACAUCACAUAGACACUCAAAUAGGUAAAAUAAGCACUACUCUGAGUAAUUUGGAAUCUCAACUCUCGAAUAGACUUCCUUCUCAAACACUUGCCAAUCCAAAUGAACAUGCUAAAGCUGUAACACUUAGGAGUGGUAAAGAGUUAGCAGAACCUAAAAUGAAGAAUAGAGCAGUGGAGAAAGAAGUAGAAGUCAGACCUAAGGAUAUAGUUGGAGAGAGUAAGAAAAAACAUGAUAAGGAGAGCAAGAAAGAACCUGUAGGGAAGGGUAAUUCUGGUGUGAAUUUUGAUGUUUCUCGUUUUAAAGAUGUUCCCCCUUUCCCCUCUUGAUUUUCUAAGUCUGGGAAAGAAGCCAUGGAUAAUGAAAUUCUAGAGACUUUUAGGAAAGUUGAAGUUAAUAUUCCUCUUCUUGAUGCUAUUAAGCAGGUACCACGCUAUGCAAAGUUUCUUAAGGAACUUUGUACUAAUAAAAGACAAUUUCGCCCUUUUGAAAAGGUAAGUAUGGGGGAAAUAUUUCAGCUGUAAUUCAAAAGAAACUUCCCCCUAAAUGUAAGGAUCCUAACAUGUUUUCAAUUCCAUGUAAGAUUGGAAAUUCUAUUUUUGAAAGAUGCAUGUUAGACUUAGGUGCUUCAAUCAAUGUCAUGCCUAAAUCUGUAUAUGAUACCUUGAAUGUGGGUCUUUUGUCUAAGACUAAUGUUGUUAUCCAAAUAGCUUGUAGAUCUAAUGCAUUUCCCAUGGGAGUUUUAGAAGAUGUGCUUGUUCAAGUGAAUGAAUAAGUUUUUCCUGCUGAUUUUUAUGUGCUUGAUAUGGGUGAUAGGUCUGAUAGUGUUCCUUUGUUGUUGGGACGACCUUUUCUAAAGACUUCCAAGACUAAAAUUGAUGUUCAUGAAGGUAAUUUGACAAUGGAAUUUGAUGGAGAAUUGAUAAAAUUCAACAUAUUUGAUGCUAUGAAAUACCCUAAUGAUGUCAAUAAUGUUAGUUCUAUAGAUUCUUUUGAUGCAUGUGAUUGGAUGGCUCAGGAUGUCUUUGAUGAGUGGUGUGAAAAUUUGUUUGAAAAUGGUGUUUUUGGUGAUGUUGAAAAAAACAGAAUUAGUUGAUUCUUUUGUAGCAUCGUCUGAUGUGAUUGAAUCUGAUGUUUCUAAUGGAUGUGAAAAAUCUUUUCCCUCUGCCUAAAUUGAUUCCUUCUAUUGUUAAGCCACCUGAAUUAGAAUUGAAGCCCCUUCCCUCUAAUCUGAAGUAUGCUUAUAUUGGGUGAUAAUGAGACUCUACCUGUGAUUAUUUCAAGUUCUUUAAAUGAAUCUCAAGAGACUAGGUUAUUGAAUUUGCUUAAAAAUCAUAAGGAAGCCUUAGGAUGGACUUUAGCCGACAUAAAAGGCAUUAGCCCCGCUAUGUGCAUGCAUAAAAUUUUUCUUGAAAAGAUGCUAAACCAACUAGAGAGGCUCAACGUAGAUUAAAUCCUUCAAUGAUGGAAGUAGUUAAAAAAGGAAAUUCUAAAGUGGUUAGAUGCAGGAGUGAUUUACCCUAUUUCUGAUUCCCAAUGGGUAAGUCUAAUUCAUGUGGUACCUAAAAAGAGUGGAAUAACUGUUGUAGAAAAUAAUGAAGGAGAACUUAUCCCUACUCGAGUUUCUAAUGGAUGGAGAAGUUGUAUUGACUAUAGAAAGCUUAAUCAAGCUACUAGAAAAGAUCAUUUUCCCCUUCCAUUUAUUGAUCAGAUGUUAGAAAAACUUGCUGGACAAUCUUUUUUCUGUUUUCUUGAUGGUUAUUCUAAUUACACACAAGUACCCAUUGCUCCUGAAGAUCAAGAUAAAACCACUUUUACUUGUCCUUUUGGUACAUUUGCUUUUAGAAGAAUGCCUUUUGGUUUAUGCAAUGCUCUUGGAAUAUUUCAAAGAUGCAUGAUGAGUAUAUUUUCUAAUUUGAUUCAACAAGGUGAUUCAUUUGAUAGAUGUCUUCGUGAUUUAUCUCAAGUUUUGAAAAGAUGUGUUGAAACUAACCUUAUUUUGAAUUUUGAAAAAUGUCAUUUUAUGGUUGAACAAGGAGUAGUUCUUGGUCAUAUUGUUAGUGCAAAAGGUUUAGAGGUUGAUAAUGCGAAAAUUGAUGUCAUUAGUUCUUUGCCAUAUCCUACAUGUGUUCGUGAAGUUGGAUCAUUUUUAGGACAUGCUGGAUUUUAUAGACGCUUUAUUAAAAAUUUCUCUACGAUUGCUUCACCUUUAUGUGCUUUGCUUGCUAAAGAUGUUGUUUUUAACUUUAAUGAUGAAUGCAAAAAGGCUUUUGAUGAUUUAAAAGACAAAUUGACAAGUGCUCCUAUGAUUAGACCCCCGGAUUGGUCUUUACCUUUUGAAAUUAUGUGUGAUGCUAGUAAUAAGGCAGUAGGAGCAGUUUUAGGUUAAAAGAAGGAUAAAGAGUCUUUUGUGAUCCAUUAUGCUUAUAAAUCACUUGAUUAUGCCCAAUGCAAUUACAGAAAAAGAGAUGUAUGCUGUUGUUUUUGCUUUAGAGAAGUUUAGGCCCUACUUACUUGGCACUCGUGUGAUUGUUUAUUCUGAUCAUGCAACUCUUAAGUAUUUGUUAAAGAAGAGUCACUCAACACCUAAGUUGCUUAGGUGGAUGCUUCUAUUACAGGAAUUUAAUGUGGAAAUUAGAGAUAAGAAGGGCGUUGAAAAUCCAGUUGCCGACCAUCUAAGUAGAAUUGUACCCAGAGAGGAUUGGCCUUUAAUAACUGAGUUUUUUCCAGAUGAGCAGCUUCCAUCUUUAUAUACUGUUGACACUCCUUGGUAUGCUGAUAUUGUUAACUAUCUAGUGACUGGAACAUUUCCCCCUACACUCACUAAAGCUCAAAAGAAUAAGAUUAUAUCUGAUUCUAAAUAUUAUAAUGUGGGAUAAUCCAUAUUUAUGGAAAUCAUGUUCUGACCAAAUGAUUAGGAGAUGUGUUGACAAACCUGAAUAUGCCUCUAUUCUUACUUUUUGUCAUAAUUUUGAAGGUGGAGGACAUUUUGGUCCUUAGAGGACUGCUCAUAAGGUACUUGAAUGUGGUUUAUAUUGGCCUACUAUUUACAAAGAUGCAUAUUUGUUUUGUAAAUCUUGUGAACGUUGCCAAAAGACUGGAAAUUUGUCUAAAAGAAAUGAAAUGCCUCAAUCUGGUAUCCUUAUUUGCGAAAUAUUUGAUGUGUGGGGUAUAGAUUUUAUGGGCCCCUUUCCUUCUUCUUUUGGUAAAGUUUAUAUCAUUCUUGCUGUCGAUUAUGUAUCUAAAUGGGUAGAAGCCAAAGUUUUGAUAACUUAUGAUGCUAAAACAAUUGUUAAAUUUUUUAGGAGUCAUAUUUUUAAUAGAUUUGGCAUGCCUAAGGCCAUCAUAAGUGAUAGAGGGACUCAUUUUUGCAACAAAACCUUUGGUGCACUUUUGGAGAAAUUUCAUGUAACCCACAAAGUUGCUACUGCAUACCACCCACAAACUAGUGGGCAGGCUGAAGUUGUUUCUAACAGAGAAAUAAAAUCGAUUCUUGAGAAAAUGGUUAAUCCUAAUAGGAAAGAUUGGAGUCUUCGAUUAGGUGAUGCAUUAUGGGCAUAUAGAACUGCAUAUAAAACUCCUUUAGAGAUGUCUCCAUUUAGACUUGUUUUUGGUAAAGCAUGUCACUUGCCAGUGGAAAUUGAGCAUAAGUCUUUUUGGGCAGUAAAGUAAUGUAAUUUAGACUAUGACCUUGCUGGAAAUAAGAGGAAAUUACAGUUGCUUGAAUUGGAAGAAUUAAGGUUAGAGGCAUAUGAAAAUGCCAAAAUCUAUAAAGACAAAACCAAAGCCUUCCACGAUAAGAACAUAGCUAGGAAAUCGUUUCAGGUUGGACAAAAAGUUCUUCUUUUUAAUGCUCGUUUGAAAUUAUUUCCAGGAAAAUUGCAAACUAGAUGGCUUGGCCCUUUUGUUGUUACUAAUGUUUUUCAUCAUGGUGCAGUAGAAGUCAAAGAUUUUGAUACCAACAAAACUUUCAAGGUUAAUGGUCACAGGUUAAAACCAUUCUAUGACCAAGCUUAUGUGACCAUGAUUGAAGACAUGUUCUUCGAACAAGCAUGAAGAGAAGAACGUUGAGCCAACAACAUAAACUAAAGGCGCUACUUGGGAGGCAACCCAAGGCUAUCUUUGUUCUUUCCCUAGUUUAUUUUCUACUGUUUUUAGUUUUGAUAUUUUGUUUUACUUUUCAAUUCUGCCAUGUCAGUUUUAUUUUAUUUUAUUUUAUUUUUUUCUAGUUUGUGUCUAUGAGUCAUUAAAUUUAGAGCCAUUAAUAUUUCAGGAACAGAUUACUUAAGAGUCUCUGAGUUAUGCUAACGAUUCUGUCUCAUUUUCUCUUUGUGCAUUGCUGCAGCCAUUCAGUUAAGCUAAUAAGCGGACAGAUAGCAGCAUCAUCACAAACAUUCUGUAAGCUCAAAGUCUACUACUUACAUGACCAGCUAAGUUUCCCUUUCCUUUCUUAACUUUGUUUUCAUCGAGGACAAUGAAAAGUUUAAGUGCGAGGGGGGGGGGGAUUGAAUAUUUGAAAUUGGUUUGGUUUUUGUGGAGAGAAUGCUAUUUGAAUGGAUAUUUGGUUGUAAAUGCAUUGAUUAAAAUAGCUCAUUUUUUAGUAGACUGCUACUAAUUUAGAGGAGGUGUUGCCGAAUUUUAGAUUAAAAAGCUUGUUAUUUUAGAUUGCUAGUUUCGUAAAUAAAUGAAGGAACUUUGGGUUGAUCAGCAAAUAAAUAAAUAAAAAAAAAUCUUUUAUUUAUUGCAUGAUGUGGAUUACAGACAUGAAAGAUAGCUUAAACCCCUCUUUGGUAUGAUUAGUAAAAGUGUUUGUUUCUCACUAAUAAUUUUAUCAUGUCUCAAAGCCUAUCAUUAACAUCAUCCAAUAUUGAGCCAAUUUGAGCUUAAGUUUGUUUUCUUAUCAUAUAAAACUCACAAAUGUGCCCUGUCCAGAAAACGAUUGAAACACCUUUUGGGAUUAGUAGAGCAUAUUGUUAAAUUGUGAUAUAAAAUGGAAUGGUGGUUGUCAUUAUUUGGUGGUUUUCUAAUGAAAAGUUUCAAAUUUGAAGGCUCUGCGUACCAAUGUCUGGGUUUAGAAAGUGAUUCACAUAUAUGUACAUUAAAAAAAAAAGCCAGUUAUGUACGUGUGAUGUUUUUAUCUCGUGCUUAAGUAGUUCGAGUAAGUAGAUCCGUAGGGGUAUCUUAAAACCUAGUGCCUUGGGCCAAUUGGACCGGGAGUCACUGGUCGAACACUCGCUACAAGAACUAUUUGACAGAAAUAAAGCAUUAAGAGUCCUAAGACCAGAAAAAAAAAUGUCAAGUUCAAUGUUGGAGAUGUGUGAUAUAAAUGUACUAGUAAUGUGCUCUACUAAUUUCCACCUUACCACUACAAACCUAAACAUAUCUCCCACCUUUAUUUUACCUUGUUGAUUUUACAUUCCAUAAAAGUUCUGAUGUCCAUCUAAUCAAAUACAUAAAAAUAAAGGUGAGAAACGGAAAUGAUACGAUGUCGGACAUUAAGGGUGUUAAAAUCUUUAUAAAUGUCAAAUAUAUAGUCCAUGCAUGCUGGUGAGUGCUUAUAUGCCUAUGUUAGUUAUAUUUGCUGAUUGGUUCAAAGAUUUCAAAUGAAGAGACUUUGUGGGUAUGUCUUCAUGUUUAAAGGGCUUGUUGCACAUGCUAAGUGUAAUCAUGAUUCCUACGACAGUGAGUCAGGUUUAUUGCUUUUAUAGGUUAGUUCUAUUUAGUUUAUUCGAGGGCGAUCAAAGACAAAGUGUGGGGGAAUUUGAUAAGUGCAAAAUAUACCAUAUUUUUAGUCCCUAAUAUUAGUCUUAUUAUCGUUUUCUAUUAGUUGUUUUAUGAAAUUAGUCACUUUAAUAUUUUUAGUUCUUAUUUUAUGUUAGUAUAGUAUUUUAUACCUAUUUUAUAAUAAGUGACACUUAAUAUUAUGUUGUGUAUUUUUGGUAGAAAGUCAAAGGGAAAUAAUAAGGUGGACUUGAAUUGGAGAAUGCAAAAUAGCUUCAAGAAGCCCACUUGUGUCACCACUGAAGAUCACGUGCAACCAAAUUAAAAGAAAGCAAGAAAAAGAAAAAAAAAAGAAAAAAAAAAGAUAAGAAGGAAGGAAGGAAGUGGCGUGAAAAACAAUGAACUAAUCCAAACCCACAAAUAUUCAAGAUUCAUCUUCAUCAAUACUGAUAAUUUCUAUCCGAAAUUCAAGGCUAGAUAAAGAAAGAUGAAUCUCUAUCUUUGUUCACAAAUUUAUCUCUUCAAUCCCAGAAAAUUUAGGUCGUUCUUGAUCUAUAAAAAUCCCCAAUUAUUUCUGCAAAAGACACAACUUAUCCAACAAUUAUACAAAGAGCGAGAUCGUUCGAGUGAGUUCGUAAUUGGCAAUUGGUGAAGUGAAGAUAGCCAUUGGAGGGCAGCUUAGUCUCGCAUCCAAGGUAGUACGCAAAACAAAGGUGAAUCGCGGGGUCGAAGCCGAGUUUAUUCGGGUGUUCUUGGGAGUAUAUUUCAUAAGUCUUAUUCUUAACUUAAUUGUUCCAUGUUACUGAUUUAUUUGAUGUUCCUUGCUGGUUUGAUGAGAUACUUUUAUUGGUUUAUUGGUAUUAUAAUUGAAUCUUGAUAGUACUAUUUUUUCGAUUUAAUGGGUAUUUGAAAUUUGCU
Long non-coding RNA from Chenopodium quinoa (quinoa), 8605 nucleotides. RefSeq lists it as uncharacterized. The record is from RefSeq and is a predicted model, not a curated record. The transcript is spliced from 3 exons. NCBI's taxonomy places the organism in Eukaryota, Viridiplantae, Streptophyta, Magnoliopsida, Caryophyllales, Amaranthaceae.